RNAcentral lists this ribosomal RNA (497 nucleotides) under uncultured bacterium. RNAcentral describes it as "partial 16S ribosomal RNA". It matches the Rfam family "Bacterial small subunit ribosomal RNA", at positions 28 to 507 of the family's 1533-position model. The record is from RNAcentral.
GAUGAACGCUGGCGGCGUGCCUAAUACAUGCAAGUCGAGCGAACAGACGCGGAGCUUGCUCCUCUGACGUUAGCGGCGGACGGGUGAGUAACACGUGGAUAACCUACCUAUAAGACUGGGAUAACUUCGGGAAACCGGAGCUAAUACCGGAUAAUAUAUUGAACCGCAUGGUUCAAUAGUGAAAGACGGUUUUGCUGUCACUUAUAGAUGGAUCCGCGCCGCUUUAGCUAGUUGGUAAGGUAACGGCUUACCAAGGCAACGAUGCGUAGCCGACCUGAGAGGGUGAGCGGCCACACUGGAACUGAGACACGGUCCAGACUCCUACGGGAGGCAGCAGUAGGGAAUCUUCCGCAAUGGGCGAAAGCCUGACGGAGCAGCGCCGCGUGAGUGAUGAAGGUCUUCGGAUCGUAAAACUCUGUUAUUAGGGAAGAACAAAUGUGUAAGUAACUAUGCACGUCUUGACGGUACCUAAUCAGAAAGCCACGGCUAACUACGUG